RNAcentral lists this unclassified non-coding RNA (1045 nucleotides) under Leishmania donovani. Its description in RNAcentral is "gene:LdHU3.29.0250(CDS-product:Protein_phosphatas e_inhibitor_2_(IPP-2)_putative)". Lineage: Eukaryota; Euglenozoa; Kinetoplastea; Trypanosomatida; Trypanosomatidae. The record is from RNAcentral.
AUUAUUGUCUGCUCGUGUGUUAGUGCUCUUCCUCCUAGCAUUGGCCUCCGUUGUUUUGUUUUCGCUGUUGAAGUGGUGUCUCAUUGCGGCGAGGCACACUUGCACUUCCUGGCGUGCUAAGCAUCUCCCAUCCCUCACUCACGCGUACGCCUUUACACACGUACCGCUCUUUGUGCAGUUAUCGAUGUCUCGCUCGAAGCACGUGGAGUGGGAUGAGAAGAACCUGGAGGCGAACGCCGAGUACCAGCGACAGCACCCCGUGACGAUGCACAUCACGGAGCCGAAGACGCCGUACUCAUACGCCGAUGGUGACGACUUGGAGGCCGAGGAAGAGGGGUUGCUCAAAUGGGACCCCGCUGUGAACGCCAAGGUGAAAGAGAUCAAGGAGCAGAUAGCUGGGGACUUCUCUGAUCGACCAGUAGCCCCAAUCGCGAAGUCUGGGCGGCCGAUGCUGGCGGAGGGCACCUCCACCGGUGAGCUAGCUCAGCAGCAGCAUCGAAAAGAAUUCCGCAAGAUGCGCAAGGCCGUGUACGCGGACGAGGGUGCCAUGUUCAAGAGGGCUCUGGCUCACGAAUGCAAGGACGAGGAUGACGAGUAGACGACCCGCAUCCUCGCUUCUCUUUUUUUUUUCGGUGAGGGCGCCACGCGCUGAUGGCGUAAGCUCGUACGUCUCUCCCUCCGCGGACGGUGCACUUUACUACAUGCGCACUCAGGGAAGGAACGAGCGGGAGAGGGAGAGAAAACCAUCACAGGAAAGAGUGAGGGAGGAGGAGGCUAGACACUCAAACUGUGACGACAUUACAACGUCAACAAGCGUUCGCCUCUCCCCCUCAAUGCCGUCCCUCCUCGCCCCCUCCCCCUCCUUUGGCAGGCCACCCGUCCUCCAGCGGCGGUGCGCGUCGGCUGUACCCUAAGGACAGCAGCGCCCAAAAGACCGAGGACCGUUUCGUCUUUCUUUAUGGGAGUGUUUGCUCGUGCUCCCCCCUCUCUCAUCUUCCCUUAUCCCCCCUCCGCUCACCCCACCGCACUCAUUGACUGUCUUCAG